AGCUCGAACGCUGGCGGCAGGCCUAACACAUGCAAGUCGAACGAACUCUUCGGAGUUAGUGGCGGGCACGGGUGAGUAACACGUGGGAACGUGCCUUUAGGUUCGGAAUAACUCAGGGAAACUUGAGUUCUAAUACCGAAUGUGCCCUUCGGGGGAAAGAUUUAUCGCCUUUAGAGCGGCCCGCGUCUGGAAUUAGCUUGUUGGUGAGGUAAUGGCUCACCAAGGCGACGAUCAGUAGCUGGUCUGAGAGGACAUGACCAGCCACAUUGGGACUGAGACACGGCCCAAACUCCUACGGGAGGCAGCAGUGGGGCAAAUCUUGCGCAAUGGGCGAAAGCCUGACGCAGCCAUGCCGCGUGGAUGAUGAAGGUCUUAUGGGAUUGUAAAAUCCUUUCACCGGUGAAGAUAAUGACUGUAGCCGGAGAAGAAGCCCCGGCAGUAACUUCGUGCCAGCAGCCGCGGUAAUACGAAGGGGGCUAGCGUUGCUCGGAAUUACUGGGUGCGUAAAGGGAGCGUAGGCGGACAUUUAAGUCAGGGGUGAAAUCCCGAGGCUCAACCUCGCAGAACUGCCUUUGAUACUGGGUGUCUUGAGUGUGAGAGAGGUGAGUGGAACUCCGAGUGUAAGGAGGUGAAAUUCGU
RNAcentral lists this ribosomal RNA (639 nucleotides) under uncultured Alphaproteobacteria bacterium. RNAcentral's name for it is "bacterial SSU rRNA". It matches the Rfam family "Bacterial small subunit ribosomal RNA", at positions 26 to 691 of the family's 1533-position model. Lineage: Bacteria; Pseudomonadati; Pseudomonadota; Alphaproteobacteria. The record is from RNAcentral.